This 429-nucleotide ribosomal RNA is filed under the name Chloroflexota bacterium. RNAcentral describes it as "Chloroflexi bacterium partial 16S ribosomal RNA". It matches the Rfam family "Bacterial small subunit ribosomal RNA", at positions 355 to 776 of the family's 1533-position model. The record is from RNAcentral. Lineage: Bacteria; Bacillati; Chloroflexota.
UGGGGAAUAUUGCACAAUGGGCGCAAGCCUGAUGCAGCCAUGCCGCGUGUAUGAAGAAGGCCUUCGGGUUGUAAAGUACUUUCAGCGGGGAGGAAGGGAGUAAAGUUAAUACCUUUGCUCAUUGACGUUACCCGCAGAAGAAGCACCGGCUAACUCCGUGCCAGCAGCCGCGGUAAUACGGAGGGUGCAAGCGUUAAUCAGAAUUACUGGGCGUAAAGCGCACGCAGGCGGUUUGUUAAGUCGGAUGUGAAAUCCCCGGGCUCAACCUGGGAACUGCAUUCGAAACUGGCAGGCUAGAGUCUUGUAGAGGGGGGUAGAAUUCCAGGUGUAGCGGUGAAAUGCGUAGAGAUCUGGAGGAAUACCGGUGGCGAAGGCGGCCCCCUGGACAAAGACUGACGCUCAGGUGCGAAAGCGUGGGGAGCAAACAGG